This 253-nucleotide ribosomal RNA is filed under the name uncultured bacterium. RNAcentral describes it as "partial 16S ribosomal RNA". It matches the Rfam family "Bacterial small subunit ribosomal RNA", at positions 524 to 776 of the family's 1533-position model. The record is from RNAcentral.
UACGGGGGGGGCAAGCGUUGUUCGGAAUUACUGGGCGUAAAGGGCUUGUAGGUGGCCAACUAAGUCAGACGUGAAAUCCCUCGGCUUAACCGGGGAACUGCGUCUGAUACUGGAUGGCUCGAGUGUGGGAGAGGGCAGUGGAAUUCCCGGUGUAGCGGUGAAAUGCGUAGAUAUCGGGAGGAACAUCAGUGGCGAAGGCGGCUGCCUGGCCCAAUACUGACACUCAGGUGCGACAGCGUGGGGAGCAAACAGG